RNAcentral lists this long non-coding RNA (703 nucleotides) under Elaeis guineensis (African oil palm). Its description in RNAcentral is "long non-coding RNA (EGUI_LNC004794)". Lineage: Eukaryota; Viridiplantae; Streptophyta; Magnoliopsida; Arecales; Arecaceae. The record is from RNAcentral.
CCUAAAACAACCAAAUUGAUCAACAAUAUUAAUUCCAUGGAUUAUUAUCUUAUACUACGUUAAAUAUACCAAAAGAACAACGUUAAGUUUAGAAUAAGAAAUAUAAUCUUAUUAAUGUCUUGACUUCCUUCUAUAGAUAUUGAAGAUGACUUUGUCAAGGCACCAUCUCCAACAUAAUAUCUCCACCCUCAAAUGAAAAGGACACUAGUUCUACAUCACAGAAUGUGCAAACGUUGUGAAGGGAAAUCAUUUUUUUUCCUCCUUAAAAAUUUUAUAUUCGAAAGGUUAUAUCAAAGCGAUCAAAGAAUAUACUUCAUUAUUAAAUGUCAGAAGUAAGAAAGUAAUAUCUUUUGAUUUGAAACAAUGGUGGAAGAACCGUUGAUACCAAUCAUUUCCGAUUACUCAAGAAAGAAUUAUUCAUGCCAAAUAUUCAAAAAGGAAAGAGCUCCUAUUGAAACAUGAAAAGCCUAAAAAUGGAGAGGCCUCAACCACAAGGCUAUAGCUAAGUUCACAAACUUAGCGAGUUAUGGUUCAAAAAGCUAGUAAUAUAAGUCAGGACAUUCAGUAAGUAAUCAAAAUUUAAGUCAAGUCCCUCUGGAAUAUAUUUGUUAAGUGCAAUAGUAACCUAUCCAAGUCUAUCUCAUUAAAAAUAACAAUAUACUGUUCAUUUAUCAGAUCUUAUAUCCAUUUAUACUUUUAGAAG